GAAAUGCGAUAAUUAAUGUGAAUUGCAGAAUUCAGUGAAUCAUCGAGUCUUUGAACGCACAUUGCGCCCCCUGGUAUUCCGGGGGGCAUGCCUGUCCGAGCGUCAUUGCUGCCCUCAAGCACGGCUUGUGUGUUGGGCUUCCGUCCCUGGCAACGGGGACGGGCCCAAAAGGCAGUGGCGGCACCAUGUCUGGUCCUCGAGCGUAUGGGGCUUUGUCACACGCUCCCGUAGGUCCAGCUGGCAGCUAGCCUCGCAACCAAUCUUUUUAACCAGGUUGACCUCGGAUCAGGUAGGGAUACCCGCUGAACUUAAGC
This 314-nucleotide unclassified non-coding RNA is filed under the name plant metagenome. Its description in RNAcentral is "partial contains 5.8S ribosomal RNA, internal transcribed spacer 2, and large subunit ribosomal RNA". The stretch from base 1 to 105 matches the Rfam family "5.8S ribosomal RNA", at positions 50 to 154 of the family's 154-position model. The record is from RNAcentral.